This 427-nucleotide ribosomal RNA is filed under the name uncultured prokaryote. RNAcentral's name for it is "bacterial SSU rRNA". It matches the Rfam family "Bacterial small subunit ribosomal RNA", at positions 355 to 774 of the family's 1533-position model. The record is from RNAcentral.
UAGGGAAUCUUCGGCAAUGGGCGAAAGCCUGACCGAGCAACGCCGCGUGAAUGAUGAAGGCCUUCGGGUUGUAAAAUUCUGUUAUAAGGGAAGAACGGCUUUAGUAGGAAAUGGCUGGAGUGUGACGGUACCGUAAGAAAAAGCCACGGCUAACUACGUGCCAGCAGCCGCGGUAAUACGUAGGGGGCGAGCGUUAUCCGGAAUUAUUGGGCGUAAGGCGCGCGCAGGUGGUUGAGUAAGUCUGAUGUGAAAGCCCACGGCUUAACCGGGGAGGGGCAUUGGAAACUGGUUGACGUGAGUGCAGAAGAGGGAAGUGGAAUUCCAUGUGUAGCGGUGAAAUGCGUAGAGAGAUGGAGGAACACCAGUGGCGAAGGCGGUCUCCUGGUCUGUAACUGACACUGAGGCGCGAAAGCGUGGGGAGCAAACA